GUUAGAGUGCGAAAACCAAUGUGUCUUCGGACGACGACGACGCCAACGUCAUACCAGUAUACGACCGCAAAAAUUUUUUGCGGUCGUAUAAAAAUUGCUGAAUUUUUAGUGUCUGUUCUCUACUUAAGUUAGUCUCAACCAAAUGUUAUGAGACUUACACACAAUGCUUAUUACCACAAAACUCAGAUCAAGUUCAAAUUUGGGUAGUGUCACUUUUACCGUUCUUCAGUUAUGUCUUUUGAUAACUCUAUGAUAUGCAAGCGGGGGCAUCAUCUGUGUCCACAUGUGGACACUAUCCACAUUUAUUUUUUUUAAAUUUUGAUACUUUACAGGGUAAACUGAUUAUAUUGUUAUUGUUUUUGUUUUUGUUUUGUUUUUAUCAGUUUUUGUCUCGCCUUGACAGAGUCAAAAAGCGAGACAUAGGUAUGCUGUUUCCGGUGUCGGCAGCGGCGUCAACAAUGUAUUAGUUUGUGAUUAAGUCAGUUUUGUGGGGAACCACUAGUGGUAGGUCAAUGAUAUUUGGUAUGCAGUUGUAUUAGCAUUGGCACAUCUCAUUUCCAUGGAGAUUAUUUGGCCCUGCCCCUCAGUCGUGGUCUAAUAUUUUGACUUUGAAACUUUUGCUUAGUUUACAUGUAUUAGUUUGUAAUUAGGACAGUUUCUGGGGAACCGCUAGUGGUAGAUCAAUGAUAUUUGAUAUGCAGUUGUAUUAGCAUUAGCACAUCUCAUUUCCAUGGAGAUUAUUUGGCCCUGCUCCCUCAGUAGUGGUCUGUUGACUUUAAAACUUUUGCUUAGUUUACAUGUAUUAGUUUGUGAUUAGGUCAGUUAUUGGGUUACCACUAGUGGUAGGUCAAUAUUAUUUGGUAUUCAGUUAUAUAAUCAUUGGUACAUCUCAUUUCCUUGGUGAUUAUUUGAUCACUCUCCUCAGUCAUGGUCUAUUGACCUUGAAAACUUUGCUUAGUUUACAUUUAUUAGUUUGUGAUUAGGGCAGUUUAUAGGGAAUCACUAGUGGUAGAUCAAUGAUAUUUUGUAUCCAGUUGUAUUAGUAUUGGCACAUUUCAUUACCAUGGAGAUUGUUUGGCCCCGCCCCCUCAGUCGUGGUCUAUUGACUUAAAAACUUUUGCUUAGUUUACAUGUAUUAGUUUGUGAUUAGGUCAGUUAUUGGGGAACCACUAGUGGUAGUUCAUUGAUAUUUUUUAUGCAUAUAUAUAUAAGCAUUGGCACAUCUCAUUUCCAUGAGAUUAUUUGGUCAUGUACCUUCAGUCAUGGUUCAUUGACUUUGAAUAUUUUGCAUAACUUACAUGUUAAAGUAUUGCUAUUUAAUUUCAACAUUUGCAUAUUACUAUCAAAAUAACAAAAAGGUGAGACAUAUCUCUGUGUUAACAGUUUAUUUGGUUUGUCUGUCUGUUUAGUUUGUUUAUUUCUUGUCUUUUAUUUUUUGGGGAAGGGUCCCAUGUGUAGAUUUAUUGCAUUAUUAUUGGUAAAUAAAUGUUAAUAUGGUCCAAAAUGGAACAUCAUAUUGAAAGAGUUUUCAAUCGAAGUUAAUUGAUAUUCUGCAAGGGAUAAGGAGAGUCUCCAGUAAGGGCUUAUUUUGGCCUAAAACUUGAAGUACAUCUGAUGAAAGAUUUUUGACAUUUUUUAACACUUAAGUGUCUACUUCAGUUGGUUCAAUUAGUUUAUGUAAAAUAUUUGAACUGAUUUGGUCAUUAAAGACACAUAAAUUCAAGCUUAAAUAUGAAAAAUCUAUCAAAUAUGCCAGAAAACGUCAUUUUUCAGAUGGUUUUUGUCUAAAAUGGAAGUGGCCGCAUUCGUGUUAAGUCGUGUAAAGGAAGAAGACAGGCAUUGCAAAACAAUAGACAAUAUCAUAGGUAAAGGAAGAAAACAGAUAUUGUAAAACAAUAGACAAUAUCAUAGGUAAAGGAAGAAGACAGAUAUUGUAAAACAAUAGACAAUAUCAUAGGUAAAGGAAGAAGACAUGUAUUGUAAAACAAUAGACAAUAUCAUAUAGGUAAAGGAAGAAGACAGAUAUUGUAAAACAAUAGACAGUAUCAUAAGUAAAGGAAGAAAACAGAUAUUGUAAAACAAUAGACAAUAUCAUAGGUAAAGGAAGAAGACAUGUAUUGUAAAACAAUAGACAAUAUCAUAGGUAAAGGAAGAAAACAGAUAUUGUAAAACAAUAGACAAUAUCAUAGGUAAAGGAAGAAGACAUGUAUUGUAAAACAAUAGACAAUAUCAUAGGUAAAGGAAGAAGACAUGUAUUGUAAAACAAUAGACAAUAUCAUAUAGGUAAAGGAAGAAGACAGAUAUUGUAAAACAAUAGACAAUAUCAUAGGUAAAGGAAGAAGACAUGUAUUGUAAAACAAUAGACAAUAUCAUAGGUAAAGGAAGAAAACAGAUAUUGUAAAACAAUAGACAAUAUCAUAGGUAAAGAAAGAAGACAUGUAUUGUGAAACAAUAGACAAUAUCAUAGGUAAAGGAAGAAAACAGAUAUUGUAAAACAAUAGACAAUAUCAUAGGUAAAGAAAGAAGACAGGUAUUGUGAAACAAUAGACAAUAUCAUAGGUAAAGGAAGAAGACAUGUAUUGUAAAACAAUAGACAAUAUCAUAGGUAAAGGAAGAAAACAGAUAUUGUAAAACAAUUGACAAUAUCAUAGGUAAAGGAAGAAGACAUAUAUUGUAAAACAAUAGACAAUAUCAUAGGUAAAGGAAGAAAACAGAUAUUGUAAAACAAUAGACAAUAUCAUAGGUAAAGGAAGAAGACAUGUAUUGUAAAACAAUAGACAAUAUCAUCGGUAAAUGAAGAAAACAGAUAUUGUAAAACAAUAGACAAUA
Mytilus californianus (California mussel) is the source of this 2829-nucleotide long non-coding RNA. RefSeq lists it as uncharacterized. The transcript has 7 exons. Lineage: Eukaryota; Metazoa; Mollusca; Bivalvia; Mytilida; Mytilidae. The record is from RefSeq and is a predicted model, not a curated record.